AGGACGAACGCUGGCGGCGUGCUUAACACAUGCAAGUCGAGCGGAAAGGCCCUUCGGGGUACUCGAGCGGCGAACGGGUGAGUAACACGUGAGUAAUCUGCCCCUAGCUCUGGGAUAGCUCCGGGAAACCGGGAUUAAUACCGGAUACGACCACCUUAGACAUCUUUUGUGGUGGAAAGAAUUUCGGCUAGGGAUGAGCUCGCGGCCUAUCAGCUUGUUGGUGGGGUAACGCCUACCAAGGCGACGACGGGUAGCCGGCCUGAGAGGGCGACCGGCCACACUGGGACUGAGACACGGCCCAGACUCCUACGGGAGGCAGCAGUGGGGAAUAUUGCGCAAUGGGCGAAAGCCUGACGCAGCGACGCCGCGUGGGGGAUGAAGGCCUUCGGGUUGUAAACCCCUUUCAGCAGGGACGAAGCGAAAGUGACGGUACUGCAGAAGAAGCGCCGGCUAACUACGCGCCAGCAGCCGC
This 472-nucleotide ribosomal RNA is filed under the name uncultured bacterium. Its description in RNAcentral is "SSU rRNA". It matches the Rfam family "Bacterial small subunit ribosomal RNA", at positions 26 to 518 of the family's 1533-position model. The record is from RNAcentral.